UGGCGCUUUUAGCUCAAUAGGGAAUCCGGUGCAAUUCCGGGACUGUGCCCGCAGCUGUGUCAUCCUUAACGGCCUCCAAUAUGCCAUUGCUGCAAGGCGAGAAGGCGGAGUCCGGGAUCAGUCAGAAGACCUGCCAAAGACA
Molecule: non-coding RNA, 142 nt
Filed under: bovine gut metagenome
Source: RNAcentral